UUUUUUUUAAAGAAGUCGGUUUCUACUUUUCUUCAUCCGUUUGUAUAAAAAAGUAGAAGCACUUUUUAGAAGUUACAAAUGCUAGUUUUUCUCUAACACCUUCUGCUUUUUUCCGAAACACUUUGAUCUAACUUGUACUUCACUUUUUUACUUUCAUCAAGAAACACUUGUUCUAAGCUCACCCAAACGGCCCAGUACAUUUUCCACUUUCCGCUCGAAAAACGAGGGAACAGUGCGUUGCACUUUUUGAUUGUCGAUCAUAGACGAUAAGACGGGAAACACAUCAAUGGACAAUGGCCGAGACAGAUGAAGAAAAGGAAACGCCGAUACAAACACAGAUGUGGGUGAGGGCCGGUUCAGAUGUAAAAAGAGCUUGAACUGACCUCAGGAAAUUGGAUGAUGUCAUGUUGAAGCUGCUCGAAAGACAAUCUAAUUGCGCCUUGAAGCAGCUAGUUCAGGGGACCAAAUAACACAUGUGCAAUUCUUGAAAGAGAUACUGAAUAAAGUUUUAACUCUGCCUGUACAACAAAAGGGGGACAAACCACCGAACCUCCUAGCUUAAGCCAGGAUAGAAGAAAAGUGCGGGAUACAGGGGCGAGUUCUAUGCUACAAAGUGUGGCUGUAAAACCAGUUCCAUGACUUCCAAUGCCCACCGGUUGGAAAGUGCAGAACAAGAUUUUUAACUACUCUACAUAAUAGUUCUACUUUCAACAGAGCACUAAAUAAUUUGCUCGAAUAUUCAGAUCUGAUCUCUAGUAACAGAAGAGAAGUCCUUAGUUAUGCCAUGCUGAUAAUGAUGUUGCUCUAGUCAAAAAGGAUUUGGGUUUGGGGGCACACAAAGGAAUUGUUGCCAUGGGUGGAGAUGGGAAUCAUAGUGAGUGCCAAAAGCCAAGUAAAAGCAGGAAAGAGCUGCUAGUGUGUAGGCACUAACAGGUAAAAACUGGAAAAGGGGCCAAAACAAAUAAAGAUGAAAGGAUCUUUCCAAAGUAGGGGAAUGGUCCUCUCCAUGUCUGCAGUCUUCCUUCUCUUUGCAUUUUUUAUUUAUGAAAAGCAGAAUAGAAAGCUCCUGUUAAUGCAGAUCUUGUUUAUUGAUUUCUAUAAAGCAGAAGACAUGAUGAUGGGCAAGAGAUGGUGAUCUCAAACACAGAAGUCUUCAGCUGAGUUCUUUCUUUCUUUUUAUAAAGAAACUUUAGUCAAGUUGGAAUAUUCUUGCCGAAAACCAGAGAUUUUUCAUUACUGUUAUGGCUGGACUCAUGUGAAAGUCUUCCCCACAUCCCUUAAAAAAAAUUGGUUUUCUUGAGGAAAUGAGGUGUCUUGUUAAGUCUCGCAAAGACUAUUGUCAGAGUUCUUUAUUUAGUAAUUUGGUUCGCAGGCAUAUGAUCAUUGAGAACUAGGAGUGUAACCACAAACUAUAUGUUGAUUUUGCUGAAUAUUUGAAUGUAAAGAUCUUGAAAUAGUGGUGAUUGUAUUGAUGAACUGAUAUCGCUCACAUUCAUCAAAGAGAUGCUCCACCAUACAGGUCUAUCACAAAUGAUAGAGGAGCAUGAUAGUUACCUUACAUGUAUGUGGGAGAUUCAGAGGAUUGAAUCUGUUGGGCUUUUUACUUGUGGUGUUGAUGUAGAUUUAUGAAUGCGGCAUUCUUCCUUU
Long non-coding RNA from Daucus carota subsp. sativus, 1647 nucleotides. RefSeq lists it as uncharacterized. The transcript has 6 exons. Lineage: Eukaryota; Viridiplantae; Streptophyta; Magnoliopsida; Apiales; Apiaceae. The record is from RefSeq and is a predicted model, not a curated record.